CCUAUACUACCUCAAAGGACUGCUAAACUGUCUCUUCCCAAAUGCACCAGAAUAGCAGCUGCAUCCUAAGUCUUCCUUGCCCUAUAAUCCUUCUAUCUCAAACUAAGCAUGAAGGCACCCCUACUCUUGGCUAUACCCAAAGAAUCUCAAGCAAAAAAGCAAAUGUGGCCAAACCUCCUUUGCAAUCCUGUAAUAAAGAGAAAGUGAUUGCCAUUUCCUUAGCCCACUUGGGCAUAAAAAGACCAGUUAGGCUGAAUCUUUCUCCACUGUGUUAUAUUCUGAAUAGUAAUCUUCCCAUUGAGCUGAGCACACAAAGCAAUGCAUAGAGGAUGAGACUUUUAGUUCUCAUUCCUAGAUGCACUUAUAAGAAAGGGCUAUCUAAAAUAAGAAAAGAAAGGGCUAUCUGAUGAUCAAUCCAUGUGAUAAGAAUUUACCUGAAAACUUAAUCUCCAUAAUGUAACAUCUAAACUCACUUGUGAUUAUGUGAUAAUCUGCUAGAGGAGCAUCCUUAUCUGCACAGAUUUAAAUAUCAUGCAAAAAAAAAUCAGCAAUAAAAUUGUUUAUGUGACGUGAUGAAGGGCUGAAUCUCAAAUCAAAAUGUCAUGAUUUUAAAUAAUUUGCAACAAUUUGACACCUUGUUUAGGUUGCAUCCAUAGUUCUUUGUAUGAAAUUCUGUCUCAUUCUAUUUGUGAAUGGUACUUUUGUUUUGCUACUCCAAAGUGUUGGUAAAAUCUACGUAUCUGGUCCAAUUUGUUUGAUUGCUUGUUCAGGUUUCCUUGGGUCAUUUAAAUUGUUGUCUUGUUGCAACAGUUGGGGAUUCUCCUUAGCGUGAGAGUUUUAUUAGGACUUCGUCUUAGAUUACUAAUUUUAUUAUUCAAAUGAUAAAAGGUUUAGUAUAUCUCAUGUUGUUUUUUAUUGAUUUCCACCAGUUUUGUUGUAUUCUAUUAUUCUCACACAACACUUGCGCCUGAGCAAUUUCUCUUCCCUCUAUAUUCCCCAAUCAGAUUCUUUGCUUUUUCUACAACCAUUUUUGCAAGCGUGAGAAUCAAAGUGAAGUCAAUGAGUUAAGUUCCUUUAUUAUCAGGAUUCUCUCUCUCUCUUUCUCCUAAUCUUGGUGCUGUCAUCAUCAUUUUAUUGUUGACCUCUUGGUUAUAAUGUUCUUGACACUAAUAUUCUCCAAAUUUCAUAUCUCAAUUCAAAUCUUCUCAUUCUUAAUGUCAAUCGCUUCUCAUGUGAAUAUUUACUGGAUCUGCACUGCAAAUGACUCUUCAAAUUCUACAUAUUAGCAAUAUGCAUGGAAAUAAGAAUUUAAUUACUAAACUUGAUAAACAAUUUGGGUUUCUUCUAGUUUUGUUCCUGAUUUUGGCAAAUAAGAUCACUGAUUGUGGCAAUUCAAGAUGCUGGUCACCUCCAAACUUUUUAAGGAGUGCAUCAAUCUGUACAGACUUGGAGAGAACUUUAUUUUAGUUCUUUUUUUUUAUAGUCACUCUCUCUUCUCGUAUACAUGUUCCUUUUUUUUCAAAAAUCAUAGAAUGAACUUUCUCUCAAGAUUUUUUCCUCUUUGGAAUUCGUGGCUCAUUUGUUGCUACAUUCGAUCCUUCUAUGUGUCUGGGUUUACAUUUUGGUUACUUUUAUAAUGCCAAAUUCCCUACUUCAGAGAAAACAAUGUUCCUGACUUUGGGCCCGUUUGGCACCAGCUUUUUUCUUGGCUUUUUAGCUUAAAAUAAGUAAAAAAGCCAAUCAGAGUUUGCUUUUUGCUUUUCUAUUUGGCUUUUUUGCUUAGUUUUAGGUAACCUAUCACUCCCAAAGCAAAAAAAUUAAAAAUUCUUAGCCUUUUUGGUAGCAAGCUUAAAAAAAACUUGACUUUUAAGCCCUACCAAACGGAGCCUUUCUGUGGAGUUACUGGUGCAGGGAAUUUCUCAUUAGUUGCUAAGUUGGUUUUCUUGAAUUUAACUUACUAGAAAUUCUUGGUCUGUCGUCUAUUCAUCCCUUAUAAUCAUACCAUAAUUGAGCUAUUGUGGGAUGACUUCUAAGAUCUCAUACCCUGCAUUCUUGGUGCUCGUAGUUUAUGUUAUAUUCUCUUUGUUUUCAUCCCAUUAAACAUUGGUUCAAGCCUUCUUAUCUAGACGAAUGCUUUCAUCAGGGUUUUAUCAAAGUUUUCCCUCCUCAGGACUGAUUCGACCAUAUCCUUUACCCUUCCAAAAUGUAAUAUCUGAUCCGAGGUAAUAUGAUUGUUUGAAAUGGUACCAUAAUAAUUGAAUAUUAACAACUAUUGUGCCACAGCCACUUAAAAGAAUCUUUGCUGAUUGACACUUCUAAAUAUGUGAAUUCUGAAUCAAAUCUAUCAAGUGUAUCAACGUUAUUGCUAAAUAUAGACGUAUGGACGAUUAUCGGAUCAAAC
RNAcentral lists this long non-coding RNA (2401 nucleotides) under Actinidia chinensis (golden kiwifruit). Its description in RNAcentral is "long non-coding RNA (ACHI_LNC007448)". The record is from RNAcentral. Lineage: Eukaryota; Viridiplantae; Streptophyta; Magnoliopsida; Ericales; Actinidiaceae.